Molecule: long non-coding RNA, 1813 nt
Organism: Cebus imitator (Panamanian white-faced capuchin)
Lineage: Eukaryota; Metazoa; Chordata; Mammalia; Primates; Cebidae
Exons: 4
Source: RefSeq, a predicted model, not a curated record
GUCGAUUCCGCCAGGCGCUCUUCACCUGGAAGAGCCCCGACUCUCACCGAUUUUAGAUGAAGCUCCUCCCUGUGCUUUAGGGGAUGAGCGACCACUGGUUCUCCAGGUUCCGGUCGGGAUCCGGCCUUACUUCAUGCUCUCUUCAGCUUUACCUGGUGCUUCUAAUUUCUGAGCCUUACGAAGGGUUUUGCUAUGUAUACCAGGUUGCUUCAUGGCCCGCUUGGGAUUCCUGCUUCUCAAGUCUACUAAGAUCCAAGACAUACAUGUAAAUGAAUACAAUGAAUAAAAAUAACACCUGGGAAGUUUCAAGUUGAACUCUGUGAUCCUAUGAAUAAGGCUGACCACAAGUCCAGUGAGUGGAGCCUGCUGUUAAUUGACUCUUACAGUAGAUGGCAAGGAGGAAAACAUCUAUACUUGGAGUCCCAAGGUAAUGAGCAAAUUAUUCUAUGUAACAGAAGAGUGGCCCAUUUGGAGAUAACUGUACUAAUGGGACCCAUAUGAUGCAAAUGAGAGUUAUCAGGAUGAGAAAUAACUUUCUAGCUGUAAGGAGCUCCAUCUUUCCGUCACUCUGGUGUCUGCUCAGAGACCUUGGUGUAGAGGUUGCACCCUGAAGAGAGUGCUGGUAAUGUGAAGGUGGUCAGGGAGCUGGAGAGUCCUUCUCAUUGCUUAUCCUCUUCAGAAUCCACUUACUUUCCCCUGAAGUUGAUAUAUUGCCAGCAUCUUCUUUUCAGAUCUGCAGAACAUGCAGAAUGAGGUCAUUGUGUACAUGGUCCUUAUGGGAAGCUGAAGAGUCAUCCUCAUCGCUGCUGAGAUUUUCCAGAAUCCACUCAAGAUUAUGUGAAGUUGACAUACGGGAACCAUCUUCGUCCUCAUCCAUUGAUUUGCCAGAUGUUAUGCUGAGAACUUCAGGAGCAGCUGAAGAGUCUUCAUCCUUAUAGUUGCCUUCAUAAAUGAUGUCCAGAGGAGAUGUGUAUUCCAUGUUUUUGAGGCUGUCUUGGUCUUCCAUGGGGCUUUCUCCAAUGCCCUGCAACAAGGAAACUGCUUCAGUAUGUUCUCAACAGAAAGAUUUUCAUUUGCUUUUGAGUCCACCGUGACCACAGAUGAGGCCUCCUUUUCUGACCUGUCACUUGGAAAAUCCAAUACCUGAUCUUCAUUGGAAGUUUCAAUGAAUUGUUCCUUAGCAUGUACUCUGUUAUGUGGCCAGAUGGUUUUGACCCACUGCUCAGGGCAGGCAGCAUAUCUUCUGGACCACUGAGGAUACGUUUCUCACAGAUGCAACUAUCUGGGGUUGGUGUCACAGGUUGUAGAGGAAUUUACCAAGACAGUUGUAGGUAAAGAAAGGCAGAUUUAUUAAAGAAAGUAUGAAAAUAUGUUGCAAAAUUGCAAUAGGCAGCACAGCAGAGAAGGGGCUAUCUGCAAAGAGGCAGGGGUGGAAGGGAAGUUUUAUAGGGUUGUACUGCAUAGGGCUGUGUGCAGAAUGAGGCUAUUGUGUGGAAUGAGGUCAUCUCUCAGAACAAUUGUUUAUUAUUCUUCCCUACCUGGGGCCUUUCCCUACCUGAGGCCCCUUCCUCAUUGUUGCUUACUUAUCAGGAAUCAACAUUCCCCCAUGACAGAAUAGCAAUGACAGAUUUUUGGCAUUGGAGUAGAGGUCUCAUGUUUCAACUGCUUCCUGUUGACCAGGGGCAUAGAGUUAACCCUACCUGUGGUUGUUGGUCUAUCAGGAAACCCUGUGAGCCAUUUCCCUGGGUUGUGGGACCUAGGAUAUUGGAUCAUGCUGGAGGAAGGCAUUCAUCAGAGAGGGGGAGCAUGUCUA